GAUGAACGCUGGCGGCGUGCCUAAUACAUGCAAGUCGAGCGAACAGACGAGGAGCUUGCUCCUCUGACGUUAGCGGCGGACGGGUGAGUAACACGUGGAUAACCUACCUAUAAGACUGGGAUAACUUCGGGAAACCGGAGCUAAUACCGGAUAAUAUAUUGAACCGCAUGGUUCAAUAGUGAAAGACGGCUUUGCUGUCACUUAUAGAUGGAUCCGCGCCGCAUUAGCUAGUUGGUAAGGUAACGGCUUACCAAGGCGACGAUGCGUAGCCGACAUGAGAGGGGGAUCGGCCACACUGGAACUGAGACACGGUCCAGACUCCUACGGGAGGCAGCAGUAGGGAAUCUUCCGCAAUGGGCGAAAGCCUGACGGAGCAACGCCGCGUGAGUAAUGAAGGUCUUCGGAUCGUAAAACUCUGUUAUUAGGGAAGAACAAAUGUGUAAGUAACUAUGCACGUCUUGACGGUACCUAAUCAGAAAGCCACGGCUAACUACGUG
This 497-nucleotide ribosomal RNA is filed under the name uncultured bacterium. RNAcentral describes it as "partial 16S ribosomal RNA". It matches the Rfam family "Bacterial small subunit ribosomal RNA", at positions 28 to 507 of the family's 1533-position model. The record is from RNAcentral.